Molecule: long non-coding RNA, 389 nt
Filed under: Homo sapiens (human)
Lineage: Eukaryota; Metazoa; Chordata; Mammalia; Primates; Hominidae
Description: HSALNT0045474
Source: RNAcentral
GCUCAGUGUGAGAAACAUGCUCAGCCGUCCAAACCCAAAGAAUGGACUUAGAGGCAUGAAGAACAGCUCUCCUAAUCAUUCCCCGCUUCUCCUGUGAACAGGAUAUUCAUGACAGACAUCAUUUCAGCCCAGGUAUAAAAGCUGGGUUCCAGGAAUUGGUCUGCUAAAUGGCUGGGAUCUUGUAGGAGUGGUUUCAUUUGCUUCUUGAAAUUCCUAACUUCAGUUCUUGUAAGAGGAGCAUUUACAAAGCCAAUUUUUCCUUGUCCCAUGGGAACUUGCGUAAGCGUGAACAUGCUAGAUGCCUGCUGUGUGGAAGGGAUAGAGCUUUCAAGAACUAAACUGAAAACUGAAUUUUACCACCUUUUAUUUCCCUUGGCCACAAAGGGUGC